This 389-nucleotide ribosomal RNA is filed under the name uncultured bacterium. RNAcentral's name for it is "bacterial SSU rRNA". It matches the Rfam family "Bacterial small subunit ribosomal RNA", at positions 30 to 419 of the family's 1533-position model. The record is from RNAcentral.
AUUGAACGCUGGCGGCAUGCCUUACACAUGCAAGUCGAACGGCAGCACGGGGGCAACCCUGGUGGCGAGUGGCGAACGGGUGAGUAACAUAUCGGAACAUACCCUAGAGUGGGGGAUAACGUAGCGAAAGUUACGCUAAUACCGCAUACGAUCUAAGGAUGAAAGUGGGGGAUCUUCGGACCUCAUGCUCAUGGAGUGGCCGAUAUCUGAUUAGCUAGUUGGUGAGGUAAAGGCUCACCAAGGCGACGAUCAGUAGCUGGUUUGAGAGAACGACCAGCCACACUGGAACUGAGACACGGUCCAGACUCCUACGGAGGCAGCAGUGGGGAAUUUUGGACAAUGGGGGGCAACCCUGAUCCAGCAAUGCCGCGUGAGUGAAGAAGGCCUUC